CAGUUGGUAUAAAGUUGUUACUGCACGAAGAUAUCACGAUCAAAAGCAUUGUCUUUUUUUUGCAGGAAAAUAAUUCGAUCAUAGUUUUCGUAAUUAGUUUAUGUAAUUUAAGCAAAAUAGAAUAUCAAUUAAAUAUUAAAAAAGAUAUAAAAAAGUUUAAUCGAUUCGUUUAAAAUAAAUAUAACUAUAAGUAUAGUUUAACGAUAACAAAACGUUUAACCUCGCAUUAUGUAUCAAUUAUAAUGUAAUCAUAACCUAUAAUUGAAAACAUGAGUUUUUUGCACGAAAACGAUUAUAUAUACAAAAUAUCAUCAGUAAUUUUUCAUAAAUAAGAUUGUAUUGCCUAUUCACACAAUUCAAGAUAAGUACAAUUUAUACCGUAUACAUUAUAUGUUUAUAUAUAUAUAUAUAUCUUUCGUAUAUUCUAUAUACAUAGAAUAUAUAGCACACAUUUAUGUGUUUCAUAUAUAAAUAUCUAAUAAGAUUAACAGUGUCAAUAUAGUAUAUAAACAUUUUAUCAAACAUGCUUUUAAUUAAAACAACGAAAAAGAAAACUAUUGAUCGGAACUCGUAUAUGGAAGUCGAAAUAUCAUGUUUUGCAAAAAGUAUUCAAUGCUUUAUCUCGAAAUAUCUUGAAGAGGACGCAUUUACUUGAAGUUUUCAUUCAAUUGUUACAUCUACAGAAAAAGGGUACCUCAAACGUGAAUGAUUCGUUGUAAUACGGAUUAAGAGUGCAUUUUUUAAUAGACGUUUUCUUCUUCUUCAACCUUUUGCCAUUUUGCAUCAGAGCAAUUUUUACAUAAGGAUCUGAUAAACCACCGACGUCCAUUUUCUUCAGAUUUUUCGCUUCCAA
Apis florea (little honeybee) is the source of this 853-nucleotide long non-coding RNA. RefSeq lists it as uncharacterized. The record is from RefSeq and is a predicted model, not a curated record. NCBI's taxonomy places the organism in Eukaryota, Metazoa, Arthropoda, Insecta, Hymenoptera, Apidae.